This 468-nucleotide ribosomal RNA is filed under the name uncultured bacterium. Its description in RNAcentral is "partial 16S ribosomal RNA". It matches the Rfam family "Bacterial small subunit ribosomal RNA", at positions 28 to 507 of the family's 1533-position model. The record is from RNAcentral.
GACGAACGCUGGCGGCGUGCUUAACACAUGCAAGUCGAACGGAAAGGCCCUGCUUUUGUGGGGUGCUCGAGUGGCGAACGGGUGAGUAACACGUGAGUAACCUGCCCUUGACUUUGGGAUAACUUCAGGAAACUGGGGCUAAUACCGGAUAGGAGCUCCUGCUGCAUGGUGGGGGUUGGAAAGUUUCGGCGGUUGGGGAUGGACUCGCGGCUUAUCAGCUUGUUGGUGGGGUAGUGGCUUACCAAGGCUUUGACGGGUAGCCGGCCUGAGAGGGUGACCGGCCACAUUGGGACUGAGAUACGGCCGAGACUCCUACGGGAGGCAGCAGUGGGGAAUAUUGCACAAUGGGCGGAAGCCUGAUGCAGCAACGCCGCGUGCGGGAUGGCGGCCUUCGGGUUGUAAACCGCUUUCGCCUGUGACGAAGCGUGAGUGACGGUAAUGGGUAAAGAAGCACCGGCUAACUACGUG